Cricetulus griseus (Chinese hamster) is the source of this 410-nucleotide non-coding RNA. NCBI's taxonomy places the organism in Eukaryota, Metazoa, Chordata, Mammalia, Rodentia, Cricetidae. The record is from RefSeq and is a predicted model, not a curated record.
UUCAGUGCUUCAUGUGGUCCUCAACACCUAUGCUUGAACUGAUCAUCUAUAGCAUUCAGAACAAGGAAAUCAAGAGGACUUUGUUCAAGGUCCUUGGGAAAGAGAGGGCCAUCUAGGCAUCAGUCACAUUAAAUAAAGGAGAACUGAUUGGAAUAUUUUGAUGGUUUUCUUUCAUAUUUCUUUCUGAACUGCAAAUAUGUGUGCAUCUAUACUUGAAGCAGGGAAGAAACACUGGAGUCACAGUCUCUUCAUGGUUCUGCAUGCUAUGGAUAGCUAUGAAGAUUAUGUUAUUUUUUUGGAGGCAGAAUAGAGUCGUUCAGGAAAUCCAAGCAGAGAUACAGGGAGAAGAAGGGCGGAAGGGAGGAGAUACUAUCCAGCCGCUGGAGGAGAAAGAUGUCACAGCAUCACUG